This 62-nucleotide transfer RNA is filed under the name Scolytinae sp. BMNH 1040327. RNAcentral describes it as "tRNA-Glu". The record is from RNAcentral. Lineage: Eukaryota; Metazoa; Arthropoda; Insecta; Coleoptera; Curculionidae.
AUUUAUAUAGUUUAAAAAAAACCUUGUAUUUUCAUUACAAAAUUAAGACCUCUUUAUAAAUU